UGGAAAUUGAGGAGGCCCAGAACAGGCUGCUUGAAAGCUAAAGAAUCCGGGAUGCCAGUAGCAUGGCUCAGUCCAAAUCUAAAGGCCUGAGAACCUCAGGUAGAGGAGGAUUCUGAUGUAAUUCCUGGAGUUCAAAAGCCAAAGACUCUAGAGUUCUGAUAUCCAAGGGAGGAGAAGAAGAAUGUAUGCCAGCUCCUGGAGAUAGAGAGAUUUCCUAGAUGCCAUCAUGUGAGCAGCCAGGUCUUCCCACCAUGCCUUCCUGCCUUGAAGCCGGCCAACUAUCGACUAAAAAUAUGAGCCAAAAUAAAUCUCUCCUUGUUUAAACGUGCAAGCAAAGUAAGUACCUGUGGCCAAAGAAUGGAAAGUCAUGAGUUCCGGGCAAGAAGUCAUCUACCAUAGAUAAGCUCUGUGGUUUAAUUCUCCCUCGUUUCAAAGGCAAGAGAUCGCAACACUGACAGAGGCAGGAAAGCACUGUGGGAAGGGAAGGAGCGUCAGACUCUGGGACGCCCUUUACAGCAACAAAAUCCCUGAAGUCUAGGUAGGCAUGUGGCUGCUGAAAAUAAAAAGUACAUUUCCCAGAAUCCCAUUUGAUUCCAUUCUGGCCAAUCAAUUGGGCAUAAGCCAAAGUUGUGGAAGCAAGUUCCAGGAAGUGUCCUUAAAGAAGAAGGAUAAAAUACUUGAGGCUGAAGAAGGUAUGAUUCACCUCGGUCAUGGAACAAAGGCACAGUGAGACUACAAUCAGAUGUGUUCUGCCUGUUCAGUCAGCCACCUGAAGCUGACCCCCGGAGGUGGAGCGUUAGCAGAUGGUCUCCAAAGGCAUUUUCUGGUAAAAGACAAGCUAUGGUCCUCCACCGCAAGCUUGUUUCCAAGUCUCAGGGAUGUUCUCAGGUCCAUUAAUAAUACUCUCUUUUUUUGGUAAUAAAUUUGUAAAUUAAUACAAUAAAUCAAGUGUCUCUAUAGCUAUCCUUCAUAUGAUAUGAAAACACUAUGGUAUCUGAAAAUAGGCUCUCUCAGACACUAUGGUGAAAACUUUUAUAAGAAAAAGAAUGAAAUAAAAAUGUGACAG
This 1066-nucleotide long non-coding RNA is filed under the name Heterocephalus glaber (naked mole-rat). RNAcentral's name for it is "lncRNA (ENSHGLG00100029337.2)". Lineage: Eukaryota; Metazoa; Chordata; Mammalia; Rodentia; Bathyergidae. The record is from RNAcentral.